UACGGAGGGUGCAAGCGUUAUCCGGAUUCACUGGGUUUAAAGGGUGCGUAGGUGGGCAGGUAAGUCAGUGGUGAAAUCUCCGGGCUUAACCCGGAAACUGCCAUUGAUACUAUCUGUCUUGAAUACUGUGGAGGUGAGCGGAAUAUGUCAUGUAGCGGUGAAAUGCUUAGAUAUGACAUAGAACACCAAUUGCGAAGGCAGCUCACUACACGAAUAUUGACACUGAGGCACGAAAGCGUGGGGAUCAAACAGG
RNAcentral lists this ribosomal RNA (253 nucleotides) under uncultured bacterium. Its description in RNAcentral is "partial 16S ribosomal RNA". It matches the Rfam family "Bacterial small subunit ribosomal RNA", at positions 524 to 776 of the family's 1533-position model. The record is from RNAcentral.